CAGACACUAACAGUUCUAGUCACCAUGGGGAAGAGGCGCAAUGGUCAUCCCUUCCUAGGAGAGCGUUUCAGAGAUCAUGCUGUGCGGCGGGUGUUUGAUGUCUCACCAUCCCCUCAGACCAGUGCGGUUGGGCUACCAGCAUCUGCCCGCAAGGUGAUCACUAGUUUCAGGCUUAAGUAAGCAUUACUUCAGCACUGCCUGUGGGUUCCACGGCAGGCCAGGCAUUUUCACACAGUGUUUCAUGAUAUCCCACAAUCCUCAUUAUCUCCCAAUGAACCAGGUCCUGCUCAACACAGUCUGGGGCUCCCCGCUCCCCCUCUGCAGCUGCUCCAUCUGCCAGGGACUUGACUCAGCCUGCUCCUCUUUCAAUAUUCAAGACAGAAAUGCCAGGUGUGGCAAUCUUGUCGGUCCUUCGAGUGUCAGCCAAAUGCCCCUUCCUCCAGGAAGCCUGCCAAACUUCUCCCUCCCUGUCACGUAUGCCUGUGCUUGCAUCCUGGCCAGGCCCUUGUCACCCUUGUUGCUGUGGAGUUAUUUGUACACCUGACUUUGCCCCCUGGAGCUCCCCAGGGCACCAAUGCUGAGUCUUUCAUUCCCUGGCGACACCCCCUUCCCCUCAGGCACUUGCUGAGUGAAUAGGCGAGCACGGUUGUGGUCUGGCUGACACCUUCCUCGACACCCAAGACAAGGAAUAAAGGGUUAGAGUCUUCAAAGUGAUCCCUUUAGCCUGCAGGGAGACCGCAGCAGGGUGUACACUGGAUGAAAUUACGUAAAACACGAAGAGAGCACGGGGCACAGGAGUGCUUCUCAAGAAAGGGGCUCUGGGGCAGGAGCAGAAGCCCGUGGCAGGGACGAGGGCUGUGGGCCACUGAAAUGCUCCCUGCCAGCCCCAGUGCCCGCAGACGGCCCCUCCAGCCUGGGGGAAGCUCUGCCUGCCUCCUCAGGCCGCCCGCAAACUGCUCGUGGCCCAGGGACCUCAGGGUUGCCUCCAGUGGACACACUUCGUGUCUUGCUAGAGCCCCGUUUCUAAGGGAGAGGCAGCCGACAGCUUGCUGGGAGAUUUCUAAGAAGAAAGCUGGUGGGGUGGCUACUGCUUUCUAGAUUACUCAGUGUGUGACUGGAAACACACUGGUCGCUUUGCACGGUCACAGCCGGCACAGCCUGUAGUCACAGAAUGUUCUGGGCUCACCCUCUUCUCUGGCCUGGGGAAGUGAGGCUCAGCGUAGAGGCUGUACCCACAGGCACAUGACGGUCUGCACCCAGGCCAGGGCUCAGUGAGGAGCCGGAGUGUCCCGGCCUGCCUGGACUCCAGCCGGGACCUCCCACAUGAGGCUCAUUCAUCUAUGCCCAGGAUUCUCAAAGAACCCCGGCCCCAGCCUGCUCUCUGUCAUGUGCUGAGCCCCAAGCUUACCCAUGCCUCCUGCCGUGGGGACCAGAGAAUGAGAAGACCACCAGGGAGACCCGCCCUGGAGACCAUGGUGUGCUGCUGACUCACGAGAAUGACAUCACCAAGUGUGCCCUCUGUCCUGUCACUUGGAGCUCCUGGAAGCACAGAAUGUCCCUCAGCCUGGACACUGCCCCUGGCCUGGGGAGGUAGAUGCUCCCCACCUCCCCUCCUGCCCUAGUGCAGAGGAAAGAAGAUCAAAUCUGGAGUCAGCAGACAUAGGAGUCUAAUCCCUGGUUCUGAUAUAUCUAGGCAGUCAUUGCCUUAGCCACACUCAGCCUUAAUCUCCUGAUCUGCAAAAUGGGGAGAACCACACUAACUUUGCAGUUUGCGGUGAGAGUCAAGGAAACCCACGUGAGAAGUGUCUGGCACUGUGCCUCGCAUGUACUGUGUUUGUCGGCCCCUCGGGCCUCAUGUUGUUGCUCUGGCACCCCAGGGGCUCAGGUGGAGCCACGGCCAGGACAGGCCUCACCAUUGGCAAGGGCACUCAAGCUCCCAGGUGGACUCCCAACCUAUCCAGGCACUACAGCCAAGGGUAAGAGCCCUGGACUGGGGCCGACCUGCUUCCAAUGACCCACCGUCCAACCUCGCCUUACCUUAUCCGUAGGAGCCAUUUGACAAGCUCUUGUUGAACAAAUGCUACACAUGAACACAUGGGCUGUGUCCUGAAGCUGGAUGUGCAGUCUUGAAGGAAUCCUACGCUUCAUGAAUGAGGAUUUGACAUCUGGCAGAGGUCUUUAUGAACACAUUUAUGAUCAUCCUUCAAAGCAACCACAUGAAAUGGGCCAGGGGCUUGUUCUCUUUUAGCAGACAGACGGGUUGAGUCACCACAAGAUGCUGUUAUGGUUUAAA
Molecule: long non-coding RNA, 2293 nt
Filed under: Homo sapiens (human)
Lineage: Eukaryota; Metazoa; Chordata; Mammalia; Primates; Hominidae
Description: HSALNT0300967
Source: RNAcentral